UACGUAGGGUGCAAGCGUUAAUCGGAAUUACUGGGCGUAAAGCGUGCGCAGGCGGCUGUGCAAGACAGAUGUGAAAUCCCCGGGCUCAACCUGGGAAUUGCAUUUGGGACUGCACGGCUAGAGUGUGUCAGAGGGGGGUAGAAUUCCACGUGUAGCAGUGAAAUGCGUAGAGAUGUGGAGGAAUACCGAUGGCGAAGGCAGCCCCCUGGGAUAACACUGACGCUCAUGCACGAAAGCGUGGGGAGCAAACAGG
This 253-nucleotide ribosomal RNA is filed under the name uncultured bacterium. Its description in RNAcentral is "partial 16S ribosomal RNA". It matches the Rfam family "Bacterial small subunit ribosomal RNA", at positions 524 to 776 of the family's 1533-position model. The record is from RNAcentral.